UACGUAGGGGGCUAGCGUUGUCCGGAAUCAUUGGGCGUAAAGCGCGUGUAGGCGGUCCGGUAAGUCCGCUGUGAAAGUCGGGGGCUCAACCCUCGAAUGCCGGUGGAUACUGUCGGGCUAGAGUGCGGAAGAGGCGAGUGGAAUUCCUGGUGUAGCGGUGAAAUGCGCAGAUAUCAGGAGGAACACCAAUUGCGAAGGCAGCUCGCUGGGACGUAACUGACGCUGAGGAGCGAAAAGCAUGGGGAGCGAACAGG
This 254-nucleotide ribosomal RNA is filed under the name uncultured bacterium. Its description in RNAcentral is "partial 16S ribosomal RNA". It matches the Rfam family "Bacterial small subunit ribosomal RNA", at positions 524 to 776 of the family's 1533-position model. The record is from RNAcentral.